UGGGGAAUUUUGGACAAUGGGCGAAAGCCUGAUCCAGCAAUGCCGCGUGUGUGAAGAAGGCCUUCGGGUUGUAAAGCACUUUUGUCCGGAAAGAAAUCCUUGGCUCUAAUACAGUCGGGGGAUGACGGUACCGGAAGAAUAAGCACCGGCUAACUACGUGCCAGCAGCCGCGGUAAUACGUAGGGUGCAAGCGUUAAUCGGAAUUACUGGGCGUAAAGCGUGCGCAGGCGGUUUGCUAAGACCGAUGUGAAAUCCCCGGGCUCAACCUGGGAACUGCAUUGGUGACUGGCAGGCUAGAGUAUGGCAGAGGGGGGUAGAAUUCCACGUGUAGCAGUGAAAUGCGUAGAGAUGUGGAGGAAUACCGAUGGCGAAGGCAGCCCCCUGGGCCAAUACUGACGCUCAUGCACGAAAGCGUGGGGAGCAAACAGGAUUAGAUACCCUGGUAGUCCACGCCCUAAAACGAUGUCAACUAGUUGUUGGGGAUUCAUUCCUUAGUAACGUAGCUAACGCGUGAAGUUGACCGCCUGGGGAGUACGGUCGCAAGAUUAAAACUCAAAGGAAUUGAC
RNAcentral lists this ribosomal RNA (566 nucleotides) under uncultured bacterium. RNAcentral's name for it is "partial 16S ribosomal RNA". It matches the Rfam family "Bacterial small subunit ribosomal RNA", at positions 355 to 914 of the family's 1533-position model. The record is from RNAcentral.